Molecule: long non-coding RNA, 1804 nt
Organism: Cebus imitator (Panamanian white-faced capuchin)
Lineage: Eukaryota; Metazoa; Chordata; Mammalia; Primates; Cebidae
Exons: 3
Source: RefSeq, a predicted model, not a curated record
ACCUGGGAGAAGCCAACCACAUGCUGAAAUACAUGAUAAAGGAGCUCUUAAUAAGGUGCCAUAUGAUUUGCAUAGAGAGAAUCACAUUGUUACAGGCCUUGCCCUCUGGGAUCCUUCAACCUAGAAGCCUCUUUGUCUAUAUCCUGCUCUCAGAGCCCUAUCUCCUUCCAUGGACAGACUCCACGGAGAUACAGCACCACUACCUGAGGAAACCUGGAGAAAGUCGAAGAUAUGGUCCCUGGCAUUUAAAUGCUUAGUUUCUAUUGGGGAGACAAGACCACACAGGCAAGACUUCCAAGGAUGGAGCAAAGGACCUGGCUCAGCAGCGGGCUCUGUGCAGAGGGGAACCAUGUGAGCAUGACUCCUGUGGGGAGGUGGCUACUGAGAAUGCAGGGUGUGUUCCAGGAACCAGUGUUGCACAGGAAAAGGGGGAGAGUGGCAAAGCCCCUGAUACCUCCCAGCCACCUUCUAUCAUGGGAGGAGCACAGAACUGAACUGCUUGCGCUUCCCCAAAAUCCCCCGCUAAGAUACUUAUACCUGGCUCUGGCACUCGCCUUUCCUGGGUGUGUUCUUCCCUCCCUCCACUCCCCAAUUCCAGGUCCAUGAGUGAGGGCUAGGGCCUGUCUUUGGGGAGCAGAUCCCAACGGGCCAGCCCCACCUCUCCCCCUCGGCAGGCUGCCACACUCCCUGCCUGUUGGGGCCCAUCCCAGUCUUUGCCCAGGGGCUUGGGAGCCUGUGCAGCAGCUGCAGCAACUGAUGGGCCCAGGCCUGUCCUGCUCCCACCCUCUGGCAGCUGGGCAAGGCUGAAGCCAAGGAAGAGGGCCCCUACUAGGGGCAGGAAAAGGAGGGUACAGUCAAGCUGGGGCUGGGGGACACAAGGGGUAUGUUGGGGUUCUGUCAAAGGAGGCAACCUGACCCCCAGGGAGAAGGAUCCUCCAUCUCUGAAUUCAAAAUGUGGCUUCCUCAUGGAAGUGAAGAUAUGCCCUAGAUUGCCAUGCCAGGGGGUCCUGUCAGAGCCAUUCUUUGGGAAGCCUUGGACAUUAUGGGAAGACAAAACGAAGCUGCUGAGGCAAUUCAGGUUCCCCUCCUCUAACCCAGCAUAUCUACACCUAGGUUCUUCCUGCCAUUUUAUUGCACUUUUUGAGUUCCUUUCUUCCUUUUGGCUCUAAUGGUUCAGCCAAAAAUACUUCUUUACUAGCCACCUCUCCUGGGCCUCAAAACGGCUAAAUGGGGCCCAACAUUCAGUCUUCCCUGAUCAAAGUGGUUUAGCAUCUUCUCCUCUGGACUUUCUUCUCAGGGUGGAUUUGGAGGUGGGGAAGAGAAUGGGGGUGGAGGUUGGGGGUAGAACUAUGCAGCGCCCUUGUAGCCUGUAGCUCUGCUACCUCUGAACCUCCUACCCAACCAUCCCUUCUGGCCGUGUUCCUCUCCCUAUUCACUUUUCUAGCCACAGAGUUCUACAGCAUGGGGUCCAGGAGUGGGGGCAUGGGUGGUGAGAAGAGACGCUUGGAAAAGUGAAAGAGGCCCACAGCCCUUAGGGGGUAAGCCUGCCACUUUUUCUAAUCACAAUCAGAUUAGAAGUUUUUUUUGUGUGUAGUACUGCCUGUGAAUUUUGGCUAAAAGAUCUUUCAAGACCCUAAUGUUCUUCAUAGCUAAGACAUAUACUCAAUCAACACUUCAUGAACAGAGUAGGGGAGGGAGACAGCGACCUGGUUUUCUUAACAGUAGCAGGAAGUAAAGCGCUACUUCCAGCCUGAAUUCUGAGAGGUUAUGGCCAGAAUUCGAGGCCAGGUUAUUUCUGGCAGUA